AGGCCUAACACAUGCAAGUCGAACGGUAACAGGGAGCUUGCUCCGCUGACGAGUGGCGAACGGGUGAGUAAUGUAUCGGAACGUACCAUUCAGUGGGGGAUAACGUAGCGAAAGUUACGCUAAUACCGCAUAUUCUGUGCGCAGGAAAGCAGGGGAUCGCAAGACCUUGCGCUGAUUGAGCGGCCGAUAUCAGAUUAGCUAGUUGGUGAGGUAAAAGCUCACCAAGGCGACGAUCUGUAGCGGGUCUGAGAGGAUGAUCCGCCACACUGGAACUGAGACACGGUCCAGACUCCUACGGGAGGCAGCAGUGGGGAAUUUUGGACAAUGGGGGCAACCCUGAUCCAGCCAUGCCGCGUGAGUNAAGAGGGCCUUCGGGUUGUAAAGCUCUUUCAGCCGGGAAGAAAAUGCAUGGGUUAAUACCCUGUGCAGAUGACGGUACCGGAAUAAGAAGCACCGGCUAACUACGUGCCAGCAGCCGCGGUAAUACGUAGGGUGCGAGCGUUAAUCGGAAUUACUGGGCGUAAAGCGUGCGCAGGCGGUUUUGUAAGACAGGCGUGAAAUCCCCGGGCUUAACCUGGGAACUGCGUUUGUGACUGCAAGGCUAGAAUACGGCAGAGGGGGGUGGAAUUCCACGUGUAGCAGUGAAAUGCGUAGAGAUGUGGAGGAACACCAAUGGCGAAGGCAGCCCCCUGGGUCGAUACUGACGCUCAUGCACGAAAGCGUGGGUAGCAAACAGGAUUAGAUACCCUGGUAGUCCACGCCCUAAACGAUGUCAACUAGGUGUUGGGAGGGUAAAACCUUUUAGUACCGUAGCUAACGCGAGAAGUUGACCGCCUGGGGAGUACGGCCGCAAGGUUAAAACUCAAAGGAAUUGACGGGGACCCGCACAAGCGGUGGAUGAUGUGGAUUAAUUCGAUGCAACGCGAAAAACCUUACCUACCCUUGACAUGUCAGGAACUUUCCAGAGAUGGAUUGGUGCCCGAAAGGGAGCCUGAACACAGGUGCUGCAUGGCUGUCGUCAGCUCGUGUCGUGAGAUGUUGGGUUAAGUCCCGCAACGAGCGCAACCCUUGUCGUUAAUUGCCAUCAUUUAGUUGGGCACUUUAACGAGACUGCCGGUGACAAACCGGAGGAAGGUGGGGAUGACGUCAAGUCCUCAUGGCCCUUAUGGGUAGGGCUUCACACGUCAUACAAUGGUCGGUACAAAGGGUCGCCAACCCGCGAGGGGGAGCCAAUCCCAUAAAGCCGAUCGUAGUCCGGAUUGUAGGCUGCAACUCGCCUGCAUGAAGUCGGAAUCGCUAGUAAUCGUGGAUCAGCAUGUCACGGUGAAUACGUUCCCGGGUCUUGUACACACCGCCCGUC
RNAcentral lists this ribosomal RNA (1360 nucleotides) under uncultured beta proteobacterium. RNAcentral's name for it is "bacterial SSU rRNA". It matches the Rfam family "Bacterial small subunit ribosomal RNA", at positions 44 to 1398 of the family's 1533-position model. Lineage: Bacteria; Pseudomonadati; Pseudomonadota; Betaproteobacteria. The record is from RNAcentral.